RNAcentral lists this ribosomal RNA (301 nucleotides) under uncultured bacterium. Its description in RNAcentral is "partial 16S ribosomal RNA". It matches the Rfam family "Bacterial small subunit ribosomal RNA", at positions 509 to 807 of the family's 1533-position model. The record is from RNAcentral.
CAGUCGCCGCGGUAAUACAGAGGGUGCGAGCGUUAAUCGGAUUUACUGGGUGUAAAGCGUGCGUAGGCGGCUUCUUAAGUCGGAUGUGAAAUCCCUGAGCUUAACUUAGGAAUUGCAUUCGAUACUGGGAAGCUAGAGUAUGGGAGAGGAUGGUAGAAUUCCAGGUGUAGCGGUGAAAUGCGUAUAGAUCUGGAGGAAUACCGAUGGCGAAGGCAGCCAUCUGGCCUAAUACUGACGCUGAGGUACGAAAGCAUGGGGAGCAAACAGGAUUAGAUACCCCUGUAGUCCCUGUCUCUUAUAC